AUGAAUCCACAUUUACUAACAUCCCCUUCUAACAAUGUCCAAAAACAGUCUGCACCAAUCUACCUCUCAGAGAUCGCACCACCCAAGUGGCGCGGCGCAUUCAGCACAGGCUUCAGUUCUGCAUCGGAAUCAGGGUGGUGGCCUCCAACUGCAUAAACUACGCCACCUCGAAGCACAGCUGGGGUUGGCGCCUCUCCCUCGGCCUAGCCAUAGUCCCAGCCACCAUCAUGACCACCGGCGCCCUCUUCAUCUCAGACUCACGCACAAGCUUAGUGCAACGCAACAGACUAGACCAAGCCAGAAAGUCUCUCAUCAAAAUCCGAGGCAAGGAGGAUAUCGAAGCAGAACUUGCCCAGCUCGUUAAGGCCAGCGAGAUCGCCAAAGCUCUCAACGAGGAGCCAUUUGUGACCAUAUUUCAGAGGCAGUACAGGCCUCAGCUUGUGAUCGGGGCCAUUGCCGUGCCGUUUUUUCAGCAGCUCACUGGCAUUAAUAUCAUUGCUUUCUAUGCGCCUGUGUUGUUUCAGUCUGUAGGGUUUGGCAACGACUCUGCUCUCAUUGCGUCUAUUAUUCUUGGGUUGGUUAAUCUUGGCUCGAUCCUUGUGUCGACGUACAUGGUUGAUCGUCAUGGCCGGAGGUUUUUGUUCAUGGGGGGUCGCAUCCAAAUGGUCAUCUGUCAGGUUGCGGUGGCUAUUGUUCUAGCAGCUACAACAGGUACCGAUGGCAACGGGCACAUCUCAAAGGGCUAUGCCAUACUAGUUCGGGUCUUGAUGUGUUUAUAUGCUGCUGGUUUUGGUUGGUCAUGGGGUCCUUUGAGUUGGCUUAUACCAAGUGAGAUUUUCCCCAUGAAAAUUCGACCCACAGGCCAAAGCAUGGGGCUUGCUGUCAACUUUGGUGUUACAUUUGUGCUAUCCCAAACCUUUUUGUCCAUGCUAUGCCAUUUAAAAUAUGCCACAUUCUUGUUCUACGGCGGUUGGAUUCUGGCAAUGACCGUCUUCGUCGUGCUUUUCUUGCCAGAGACGAAAGGAAUCCCAUUGGAUCAAGUGCAUACGGUGUGGGUGAAGCAUUGGUACUGGCGUCGAUUUGUUCAAGGUGACCUUAAGGAUACCAUUGAUGAAAAAGAGUAAUGAUAGGGAUGUCAAAACAAAUCCCAAAAUUCCAUAUCCGAAAUGAUGCAUAGUGUUUCAUUACGGUGCCACUUUAAAGUUUAUUGUUUCUAGUAGGUAAGAUAUCGGCAUGCCAUAUAUCUAUUUGGCGACUUAAAUUUGGGACAGUUUUUGAUGA
Molecule: non-coding RNA, 1281 nt
Organism: Prunus mume (Japanese apricot)
Lineage: Eukaryota; Viridiplantae; Streptophyta; Magnoliopsida; Rosales; Rosaceae
Source: RefSeq, a predicted model, not a curated record